GUGAGUCAUCGAAUCUUUGAACGCACAUUGCGCCCCUUGGUAUUCCGGGGGGCAUGCCUCUUCCAGCGUCAUUUCACCCCUCAAGCUCUGCUUGGUUUUGGGCCGGGCCGGCAACGGCAGGCCUCAAAAAUAGUGGCGGCGCCAUCGUGCUCUCAGCGUAGUAAUGUUUCUCGCUGUUGAGUCUCGGUGGUCGUCCGCCAGCAACCCUCAACUUUCUAAGUUUGACCUGGGAUGAGGUAGGGAUACCCGCUGAACUUAAGCAUAUCAAUAAGCGGAGGA
RNAcentral lists this unclassified non-coding RNA (279 nucleotides) under Chalara sp. RNAcentral describes it as "partial contains 5.8S ribosomal RNA, internal transcribed spacer 2, and large subunit ribosomal RNA". The stretch from base 1 to 71 matches the Rfam family "5.8S ribosomal RNA", at positions 84 to 154 of the family's 154-position model. Lineage: Eukaryota; Fungi; Ascomycota; Leotiomycetes; Helotiales. The record is from RNAcentral.